UCGAAGGCAAUUUCGGCAGAAGAGCAGCUCUCGCUGCUUAGUAACCGAUAGUUCGACAGACUGAACUAUGCCCACUCUGUACGGCCAGCUUGCCGCUGUGCAGGGUCCACUAUGCAAGACGCAGUACGGGGAUGAGAAUUAACCGUAUCAAGACUUUUCUCGAGGAGCGUAUCUCUUAAAACUGCUUUGUUUUAGCUCAGGUUGAGGAAGCUUUCCUUGCUGAAACGAGAUAAAAUGCACCUACGCUCGUAGAUGUUUGCUGCAUUCCAUUUCGGACAGGGGUUCGAUUCCCCUCGUCUCCACCA
This 305-nucleotide transfer-messenger RNA is filed under the name Clostridium sp. RNAcentral describes it as "partial transfer-messenger RNA". It matches the Rfam family "transfer-messenger RNA", at positions 82 to 374 of the family's 374-position model. From Rfam's summary of the family: Bacterial tmRNA, also known as 10Sa RNA or SsrA, is named for its dual tRNA and mRNA-like properties. Its role is to liberate the mRNA from a stalled ribosome. The record is from RNAcentral. Lineage: Bacteria; Bacillati; Bacillota; Clostridia; Eubacteriales; Clostridiaceae.